CAGCCCGGUAGUUGAAAUGGCUUUCCCUCCAGAGUGGAUCCUGAGUACGGCGGAACACGUGAAAUUCCGUCGGAAUCCGGGAGGACCAUCUCCCAAGGCUAAAUACUCCCUAGUGACCGAUAGUGAACCAGUACCGUGAGGGAAAGGUGAAAAGCACCCCGGAAGGGGAGUGAAACAGUUCCUGAAACCGUGUGCCUACAAGUAGUUAGAGCCCGUUAAUGGGUGAUAGCGUGCCUUUUGUAGAAUGAACCGGCGAGUUACGAUUUGUUGCAAGGUUAAGCGGAAAAAGCGGAGCCGUAGCGAAAGCGAGUCUGAAUAGGGCGCAUAAGUAACAGGUCGUAGACCCGAAACCAGGUGAUCUACCCAUGUCCAGGAUGAAGGUAAGGUAAUACUUACUGGAGGUCCGAACCCACGCACGUUGAAAAGUGCGGGGAUGAGGUGUGGGUAGCGGAGAAAUUCCAAUCGAACUUGGAGAUAGCUGGUUCUCUCCGAAAUAGCUUUAGGGCUAGCCUCGAGGUAAAGAGUCAUGGAGGUAGAGCACUGUUUGGACUAGGGGCCCUUCUCGGGUUACCGAAUUCAGAUAAACUCCGAAUGCCAUGUACUUAUACUCGGGAGUCAGACUGCGAGUGAUAAGAUCCGUAGUCGAAAGGGAAACAGCCCAGACCACCAGUUAAGGUCCCCAAAUAUAUGUUAAGUGGAAAAGGAUGUGGGGUUGCUUAGACAACCAGGAUGUUGGCUUAGAAGCAGCCACCAUUGAAAGAGUGCGUAAUAGCUCACUGGUCGAGUGACCCCGCGCCGAAAAUGUACCGGGGCUAAACAUAUUACCGAAACUGUGGAUGAACCUCUUUAGAGGUUCGUGGUAGGAGAGCGUUCUAAGGGCGGUGAAGUCAGACCGGAAGGACUGGUGGAGCGCUUAGAAGUGAGAAUGCCGGUAUGAGUAGCGAAAGAAGGGUGAGAAUCCCUUCCACCGAAUAUCUAAGGUUUCCUGAGGAAGGCUCGUCCGCUCAGGGUUAGUCGGGACCUAAGCCGAGGCCGAUAGGCGUAGGCGAUGGACAACAGGUAGAGAUUCCUGUACCAGUGCUAAUUGUUUAACCGAUGGGGUGACACAGAAGGAUAGGGAAUCGCACGAAUGGAAAUGUGCGUCCAAGCAGUGAGUGUGAG
RNAcentral lists this ribosomal RNA (1161 nucleotides) under Listeria monocytogenes. RNAcentral's name for it is "partial 23S ribosomal RNA". It matches the Rfam family "Bacterial large subunit ribosomal RNA", at positions 368 to 1529 of the family's 2925-position model. Lineage: Bacteria; Bacillati; Bacillota; Bacilli; Caryophanales; Listeriaceae. The record is from RNAcentral.